CACUAAGAAGCUUUUAUGGUCCUAAGCAUUAGCCUUUUAAGCUAAAUAUAGGUGACUACCGACCACCCUUAGUGA
This 75-nucleotide transfer RNA is filed under the name Betta pi. RNAcentral's name for it is "tRNA-Lys". The record is from RNAcentral. Lineage: Eukaryota; Metazoa; Chordata; Actinopteri; Anabantiformes; Osphronemidae.